UACGAAGGGGGGCUAGCGUUGCUCGGAAUCACUGGGCGUAAAGGGCGCGUAGGCGGGCUCUUAAGUCAGGUGUGAAAUCCCAGGGCUCAACCCUGGAAGUGCAUUUGAUACUGUUAGGCUUGAGUGUGGGAGAGGCUAGUAGAAUUCCUGGUGUAGUGGUGAAAUACGUAGAUAUCAGGAGGAAUACCGAUGGCGAAGGCAGGUCUCUGGGCUGAAACUGACGCUCAUGCACGAAAGCGUGGGGAGCAAACAGG
RNAcentral lists this ribosomal RNA (254 nucleotides) under uncultured bacterium. RNAcentral describes it as "partial 16S ribosomal RNA". It matches the Rfam family "Bacterial small subunit ribosomal RNA", at positions 524 to 776 of the family's 1533-position model. The record is from RNAcentral.